GAACGCUAGCGGCAGGCUUAAAUACAUGCAAGUCGAGGGGCAGCAGCUUUGUAGCAAUACAGGGGCUGGCGACCGGCAAACGGGUGCGGAACACGUACGCAACCUUCCUUUAACUGGAAGAUAGCCCACCGAAAGGUGGAUUAAUACUCCAUAACAUAUUGAAGAGGCAUCUCUUUGAUAUUAAAGCUCCGGCGGUUAAAGAUGGGCGUGCGUCUGAUUAGGUAGUUGGCGGGGUAACGGCCCACCAAGCCUUCGAUCAGUAGCUGAUGUGAGAGCAUGAUCAGCCACACGGGCACUGAGACACGGGCCCGACUCCUACGGGAGGCAGCAGUAAGGAAUAUUGGUCAAUGGACGCAAGUCUGAACCAGCCAUGCCGCGUGGAGGAUGAAGGCCCUCUGGGUUGUAAACUUCUUUUCUUUGGGACGAAACCCCUGUUUCUACGGGGACUGACGGUACCAGAGGAAUAAGCACCGGCUAACUCCGUG
Molecule: ribosomal RNA, 485 nt
Filed under: uncultured bacterium
Lineage: Bacteria
Description: bacterial SSU rRNA
Rfam family: Bacterial small subunit ribosomal RNA
Source: RNAcentral